RNAcentral lists this ribosomal RNA (728 nucleotides) under uncultured fungus. Its description in RNAcentral is "partial small subunit ribosomal RNA". Lineage: Eukaryota; Fungi. The record is from RNAcentral.
AUCCGAUCCCUAGUCGGCAUAGUUUAUGGUUAAGACUACGACGGUAUCUGAUCGUCUUCGAUCCCCUAACUUUCGUUCUUGAUUAAUGAAAACAUCCUUGGCAAAUGCUUUCGCAGUAGUUAGUCUUCAAUAAAUCCAAGAAUUUCACCUCUGACAAUUGAAUACUAAUGCCCCCAACUAUCCCUAUUAAUCAUUACGUCAAUCCUAGAAACCAACAAAAUAAGAUCGAACGUCCUAUUUCAUUAUUCCAUGCUAAUGUAUUCAAGCGUUAGCUUGCUUUAAACACUCUAAUUUUUUCAAAGUAACAGUCCAAAUUCCCCGCAACACCAAAUUAAUGGCAUUACGGUUCAUAAGGAAGGAGGAAUCAGUGAGACCAGUACAUACCAGAGGCAUGACCAACCUACUAACCCCGAAAUUCAACUACGAGCUUUUUAACUGCAACAACUUUAAUAUACGCUAUUGGAGCUGGAAUUACCGCGGCUGCUGGCACCAGACUUGCCCUCCAAUUGUUCCUCGUUAAGAGAUUUAAAUUGUACUCAUUCCAAUUACGAGAUCCUAAAGAACCCCGUAUUGUUAUUUAUUGUCACUACCUCCCCGUGUCGGGAUUGGGUAAUUUGCGCGCCUGCUGCCAUCCUUGGAUGUGGUAGCCGUUUCUCAGGCUCCCUCUCCGGUGUCGUGCCCUAACACCCCGUUACCCGUUACCACCAUGGUAGGCCUCUAUCCUACCA